UAAAAAAAGUAAUAAAGGCCAAAUAAAGCACCAAGCACGCAGUUGUAGAGCAUUGACGCCCUUGCAAAAAUUAAAUUCCUGAAGAUUUCACCAAAAUCAGUGAAAGAACAUGAAGAAGAUCGAGGGAAACCUUAUUUACGUAAUAUAUUUUUUCUCUGAUGUUAACGAACGAAAAAUAAAGGAGGUGAUGCAAAUUAAAUGAGAUUUUGUGAAACAAUUUUGUCUGAUGCAAAGUUGUUGGUAUAAAGAAACUGAGAAACCUACUGCUGACAAAACCUCAAAAUGUCGAAUUGAUGUCAUGGAUGAGGUGCAAUCGAAUCAAUAAUAAAUACGAUUUCGAUAAGAAGGUCUAAGAAGCUUUCAAAACUUUUUAAAAUUCCUUUAUAAUAAUUUUUCCGUUUUCGGAGUGUAUUAUCCACCCUUUCGAUUUGUCAAUAGUAUUAUUUGUUAAGAAAAUAACAGUUUUUGUGUAUUACCUAGCGGUCAGGUAGAACAAUAAUAUCUUUGAGGAAAAAGCAGGUAAAACGCGUGUAUAUAAGACUAUAAACAUUGUUACACCUGUAAUAUGAUCUUCCUACCUGUUAUGUUGUUGAAUUUUAAUUUUCCAAUUAACAAAACAGAGCAAAAAGAAUCGUGAAACAUACAUUAAAUAUUAAUCAUAAAAUCCAUUUCUUUUUAUUUAAAUACACAUAAACAAACACCAUUAAUCUGGGCCACACAAUGAUACUCCGUUGAAUUCACUAUAAAACAAGGCGUGUUGUUAUUUACAACAGAUGUCGCCAUGAUAAAUCAAUAACGAAAGUACGUGUACUUCCCUUGUUUUGAUUCUACAUCAGUAGCAGGAAUGAAGAUCGACCUAACACUUGACUAGAAUCAUUGGCUUACACACAUUUCCAUUAUAUUUCUUUUCACCAAGACAGCAAUGAGCAAAUCACACUUAAAUCCCUCCAAACAAUGUACAAAUUCUUCCUCUGUUUUGAUCUUCUAAUCGUGUUACGACGUGUCACUUUAAAUGUCCGCAUUAUCGCUGUUUACAGUGAUCACAUGAUACACAAACAGUGUACGUCACGCCGCAUUGCUCCGUCUAAUUAGCAUAUAUAACAUUCUAGAACGUCUGCUACUUUACACCUAGGAGGCGCUGACAACCACGUGAUGAAAGAGUCCCAUAUAUAACUAGGUUCUUCCGUUCAGCGUGCGCGGCUUUGUGUAUAUGUUGUAGCAUGAUAUUGAGUGACACAAUUUUAAACAGUGAACAAGUUUUGGAAAAUAGCGUAGAACAUCAGGUGAGGAUUUACAUAUGAAUAGUUUGCAUAUACAAAAACAAUGAAAAGAGAGAAGUUUCGUCAAUAAUAAGUUAGUCAUUAUUUAUUGAUUUUCAUGCCUGUCGACUCAUCGUUCCGACAUUGUUAAGUCUGAUGAAGACACGAGGCAAAACAUGAAUAAAUAAUAAUUUUAUUUAAAUCUUUGGAAUUAACAAUUACGUAAAACUCUUAUAUGUUAGCCUUUUUCAGACGAAAUUGAUUUAUUGCAUAUAGACAAUAUGCACGCCAUGUCACGUGAUUUGGGAAGACGUUCUCGUAAUCGUUUGACGUCACAUGGCAUGCGGAAAUGUCUGACGUCACAAUUUUACUGUCAAUAUAAUGUGAUGUCAAUAGGUCAAAUUUGAUAGAAUCCAAAAUAAUGAGAUAUACAAUGAUUUAAUUGAUUGUUAUUGCUAAUAUAUAUCCAGUGGGAAAUAUUUCAUUUAACAUUUAGUGAUUUUUUAGGACAUUUUUAUUAAUUAAUACACCUUAUCGCUAUUUGUCCGCCAUUGCUGGAAAUCACACAGGUUCCCGUAAAAUUUUGAAGUCGUAAAACAAAAUAUCUGACGCCACAAUGGAAAAGUGAUUGUUGUUGACGUCAAAGUUCAAGCGGCCGGGUCAGCCGGGAUUAGCGAUAAGGUGUAUUAAUACUAUUGCUAUUUGUCUGCCAUUACUGGACAUCUCAAAAGUUCCGGUACAAUUUUGACGUCAUAAAAGAAAAUAUUUGAUGACACAAUGGAAUAGUGAUUGUUGUAUUAUGUCAAGACAGGACAACUGUCAACGUAUAUUUGUUCCGCCUAACAGAAGUUCCUAUGGAAACUGUUAUAAACAUUGUCAUAAUAUCUAUUCCUGUUGGAACAAAUAUUAUAUACCAUUUAUUCUGUUAGGAACAUAUACUGUAAUUUAUUCCUGUGGAAAUAAUAUUCCGGAAUAUUUUUUCCUUUUGGAAAUUGGAACUAAUCUUAUGAAGGAACUUCUAUUCCGUGACACCACAACCAUAACCGAAACCUAUUGAUAUGAUGGAUGGGUGUUAAACCAUCUUGAUGCUGCAAAUUUAAUAUGGUUGCAUUUUGUUUUCCUGAAAUAAUGCCAAACUAUGACAUCAUUUGACACAUGAUGUCCAAGAAAUCAUUUUUAUUCUUAUCAGACAAAGACCCAAUUUCUUUUGGAUCAAAGCGCUCAAUGCAAAGGGAAAUGUAAGCUGUUCCAGUAAAAGAACACACAUUUGAUAUUGACAAAACAACAAAGAAAAUUAAUUAAGUGGCAAUCUUGAACAACAUACAAUAACAUACUUUGACAGAUUUGGAUGAAUUUAUUGGAAUAUCUUCUAUUAAUUAAAAAAGAUAUGGACAUUAACAUACAAAUUUUCAACCAUCUUUUGUUUAUGUUAACAUGUUUUGACGACUUAUAGAUUCCCAUUCAUGCAUUUUCCUAUAAAAUCCUUACAUUCUUGCGCCAUCGUUCAAUGAUGUCAUUUACACCUUCUGAAAUGAGGUAAAUUGUUCAUUUAAAGCAUAUGAAGUUGAAAUAGGAUUGGAACAACCAAAACAAAUCAUGACAUUGCCUAUCAUCUGACAAAAAAUGUAUAAAUUUAUUCGAAUUUUAUGUGUACUCGAAAGCGUUUGAACAACGUAAUAUUAUUAGACAUUGGAUAAAAUUGGGAAUGGAAAUGGGAAAUGUCACAUUAUGUGUCAAAGAGACAACAACCCGACCAAAGAGCAGAUAACAAACGAAGGCCACCAAUGGGUCUUCAAUGAAGUGAGAAAUUCCUACACCCGGAUGUGUGCUUCAGCUGGCCCCACAACAAAAAUGUAUAUAGUUCAGUAAUAAUGGACGUCAUACUAAACCCCGAAAUAUAAAAAGAAUCUAAAAUUAAAAAUCAUACAAGACUAACAAAGAGGCUCCUGACUUGGGACAGGCGCAAAAAAUCUUUAAAAAAGACUCUUUAAAAUAAAAUAUUCCACUGUUUAAUCUUCAAUGUUUUAUUUGAAAGAAGCACAUGUACAGGUGUAUCAUUGAACAAGUGCUUGCAUAAAUAAAGCAUAUGGACAUAUGUGUCCCUUCGGCUACCAGGUUAAAGUCCAGUUUCAAAUUAAAUGUAUAUUAAUGAGAACAUUACAAUAUAGAUAUAGAUCCUGCUUCGCACUUGACCAACACCCUGAAACGAAAUUUUAACAUGCAUGUUACAGUCUGCACUGUUAGACACUAGUCCGAUGACCCAGACUAGAAAAAUGUUAUCCAGAGAUUCCAGACUAGUAAGAAUUUGCAAAACUUUGUUAAAACCUAUAAUAAAAAGGUCUUAUAAUAUAUUGGUGUUCGGAUAAGUAAUUUGAAAAGAUUUUGGUGCAGACUGAAUUGUAAUAAACAAGGUUACAGAUAAAAGAAAGACAUGUCAACCUACCUUUACACAUUUUCAUUAUUAAGACGCUGAGCUGAAUCUUCUCUUACUCCUCAAUGCCUCAACCUUUCCCACAGGAGAGCACAAGACCAACAAGGCAGGUACAUUAGAGAAAAGAAAAAAAAGCCAAUUGCCAAACUUGUCUGACCGGUUAGAAUUAGUUUAAUGGCGCCAAGCCCUCCCCCUAACCUGCGACAGUGGUUUAACGGAACAACAGAACAAACUAUGCAAAACAAUAGAAUCAUUUAUAAUAAUUAUAUGGAAAAUUGCAUUGUUAGCGCUCCCAUGUGUACAAUUCUUGCCAGAACUUUCUGAAACUUAUAAAAAAAUAUUAUACUAUUAGGUUUAUACAUGUAUCAGCAAUGAUUUGAUACUUUUAAAAAUAAGUUUUGGUCAAACAUUUUUAAUGAGUUAUGUCCCUUGGAAAUAUAAGUUAUAAUGGAAACCAUGAAACUACAGUGCAUUUGCUCUUAAGCCUUCAUUUAAUAAAAAUUCUUAUAGAACAAAAAAAUGCUUCUAAUUGUUUAGUUAUUGCCCUUGUACAUGUACAUAUCUUUGGGUUGAUAAAUAUGUGCAACACAGGGACAUUGGAACUUUGUUCUUUAUUUGAGAUUGGUGAAUGCAGACUUACUUUUGGUUUUAAAUUUUGUUGUGCAAGGGUAAUUUCUGCCCAUAUUUAAUUUAAUGUACGUUUAUUUCAAACAUUUUCCUUCAAUAAAAACCUUGAGGGAUAGAAGCAAUUUCAACCUAGGGGUUGGAAAGUUGUUAUAUUAUCAUUAUUUUAUGCAAUCACCUAAUCUUUCCCCCAGGAGUGAGAAGCAAAGAAAAAUUUUUUAACAGAUUUGAUCAUUUCCAUUAAUAUUUAUAUUAACCCCUGUAUUAGGCUGAAAACAUAUGAUCACAUCGAUCACCAUACUUAAAAGUUGAGAUUUACGUCAAUCCACAAAUUGAAGUGUAUGUUUAGUGUGCAAGUAUGACGACCAUAUCUGUCAAGAAAUUAUUUAUUUAAAAAACACAUAAGUUGGGCAUGAUUAGUCAACUUAUCUCAAUAUCUGUUAAAAAAAAAGACUCUCAAUUACAAAUACACCAUUAUAAACAAAAGAAGAGAAAUCCAAUUCAAAAUAUUGCCUCCUAGACUAGUAAUGUGUCCCAUUGCUAGAUUCAAUAUUAAAUGCAAAAGUUAUCUGACCAUUACCUUUCAGUGCUCAUAAGCACUUUGAUACCAUAAAAAAAGGAAGUUUCUAACAAACUAAAGAAUAAAUUUAAACUUGAACUAGUCUACAGUGUAUUGAGUUUUUAUAACUAUCAUAGGAUUCUUUAAAUCAAUGAAACACUGGUUUACUGUAAAGAAUAAUUUUAAACUUGAAUUAUUAGUUAUCCUAUUUAUCAUAAAAUUCUUGAAUUCAAUGGAAUACUGGUGUUAGAUCACAACUGAUGUUAGAAAGUGCAGAUAAGUAUAUAUUUUAUAAAAAACAAACACAAUGAAAUCAUAAAUAACAUUUAAAACAUUCUUAUGAUAACUAACAUUGGGUUAAAAUAUAAUCCAAUACCAAUGUACAUUUAUACAUGUGUAUAACACCCAUAAUUCUUAUAUUCUCAUAUAGAGCUUCCAACUGUAUUGAAUAAUUAUUUGUAAUGAAAUGAGGUAAUUUGAUGAAUUUAUAUACAUGUACAAGUAUACUGUGUAGUUAAACAUGUUCAGAACCAUUUCUUAUUUACUUCCUGUUUGCUGGAUACAUGGGAACUUUUUAUAUUGAUCAUGGGCAGAUUCAAGCAGGGGCAGGACAGACAUGCAACCCUCUAAAAUUUUAAAGCAUGUGUUCAAGACAAGACAAUAUUUUAUUUAAGUCUCACCUCUUAAUUUCAUAGAACAUACAAAUAGUUAAUAAAAUAUUAUAAAACAUACAAGUGCUGCUCUAAAAAAAGAGUUGUCAGAGACUAUCUAUAUACUUUAGAAGAAUAUUCGAUAAUUUUACUUAAAAAAUAUAUUCUCCUAGCCCUGCUCCCCAUACGCCAUAAUAUAAAUUUAUGGGCCCUAUUAAACAUAAAAUUCUUGCUUCACCCCUGUUGAUGCAUUAUUUAGCAUUUAAAAAAGCUGUAUUGCAUUGUUCCUGUUACUCCAAAUAAUAUCUUCUUGAUAUUUGAUACUAUGCUGAAUAAAUAUCUUAAAUAUUGGUAUAUGCUCAACAAGUUGAUUAUAUGGCCAAUGUUUGAAAUGAUGCUUGUAAAAGAUCAUAGCAUUUAUAAUAUAUAAAUCUUCAUCUUUACGCCCAUGGCUACUGCCUUGAAACCACCUACUUGAAAUUUGGUGCUGGACAUUAAGCAAGCAUUAGUCAAUCACUCAGAUUGAUUGAUUUAUAGUGGUAUUGUGUUUUAUAUCCCUGACAUAAUAUACUUGUAAAGUUGUUAUCUAUUACAGUUACAUCUUUGAUCUUGUGAACUCAAAAUCAAAUAUACCAAAAAAAUGUAUGUGUUUAAAAAUAAAUAAGUGAGAUCCAAAUUUAUGAUGGUCAAGUCUGAUGAAAGUAUUAAACUAUGAACACAUUUAGUAUUUUUAGAUGUCUGCUUCUAGUUCUAAAUAUAAAAAAAGAAAAUGUGGUAUGAUUUCCAAUGAGAAAACUCUCCACAAGAGACCAAAAUGACAUAGAAAUUAACAACUAUAGGUUACAGUACAGCCUUCAACAAUGAGCAAAGCCCAUACCGCAUAGUCAGCUAUAAAGGCCCCUAAAUGACAAUGUAAAACAAUUCAAACGUGAAAACUAACGGCCUUAUUUAUGUACAAAAAAGAAGGUUUCAUUCACUGAAAUGUGGUUUUAGUUUCAGCCAAUUUAAAUCUAAAGUAUGCAUCAGAUAUAAAAAAAAAAGAACAUGUGGUAUGAUUGUCAAUGAGACAACUCACCACAAGAGACCAAAAUGACACAGAAAUUAACAACUAUAGGUCUCUGUACGGCCUUCAACAAUGAGCAAAGCCCAUAAGGCAUAACGCAUAGUCAGCUUUAAAAGGCCCUGAAAUGACAGUAAAGCAAUUCAAAAGAGAAAACUAACGGCCUUAUUUAUGUACAAAAAAGCAAGUUUCAUUCACUGAAAUGUGGUUGUAAUUUCAGCAAAUUUAAAUCUAAAGUAUGCAUCAGAGCCUAUUUUGAUGAUUCAUUAAUACAGUUAUUGAUGUCUCAUUUGAAUUAAAUCAUCAUCAAGUUUAUUCUCCUUAAAUUGAGUCCUAUUUAAAAAUUGUUCAGAUUAAUGAAAGAGUUUUAUACAAUUAAUAAUUUGUUAGCUUGGCAAUUUUAUGUGUUUUAUUUAUCUCCCUUGGGCAUUCUUUAUUUCCAAACAUAAAAGUUGAAAUAUGAUGCUAAAAAUUGAACUAAUGUUUUUCAGUCCUUGUUAAAAACUUUCUUUCCUAUUUCAAAUGCCAUUAGCCUUACCAAAUGGAAAAGUUAAUUAUUAUUAUUUUUUUUUUUGGUGGGGGGGGGGGGGUAUAUUUCAUACCUCAGAUUUUCAGUUGAAAAUACAACACCUUUUAGUCGAUAUUCUAUACAAAGUCUAAAUUACACCUGUAUUACCUAAUCUUUGAUUAGGAUUUCUAAGGCAACUGUGAUAUUGACAAAUGAUUGAAUAGAAUAAAAUUUUAACAAUACAGUUGAUUAUCAAUCUAAUCCUUAUCUCAGAAUUAAGACUAACUUGUUCGAUAAUCUUUUAUUAUGUAAAUGAGAGAUAUGUUUUCUUAAAUGCUAUAAAUAGUCUUUGUUAUAAUUGUUCACAAAGAUAUUAUGUCUGUUAGAUGGAUAGUUGAUGUCUCAUUGGAAAUCACACCUAAUUAGUAAAGUAAUACUUUCUUCUAUUCUUGAAUUUCUCCAGACUGCAUUUCUCCAUAAGAGUGAUAAAAUGUCUGUUUUGAUAUCUAUAUAUAGUAGUCUUAACUAUUUACAUAAAAUAAUCUUAUUUCUCUGACAGGUAUCAUCUGUUUGCUUUAUUCAAAAUUCUGUCAAUUUAUCAGCCUCUAUGGAGCUAUUGAGAUUAUUAUGUACUUGUAUUUAUUCCUUUUCAUGCUGUUGGCCACAUCAUGCACUUAAACAACAGAUGCAGGAAGCAGACUUUAAUUCUUUCAGCAUGCUCAGUAAAUAAUUAAUUGGUGGGAAAUUGAUAAAUAUUGACCUGUCACAUGUAACUGCUAUGCCUUUUAGUUUUAUUAAAAAAAGCCACCUGUUUUAACUGAAAUUAUAUGUAGAAGUUAAUUACAAUAUACAUGUACAUACUGCAUUUGCCAGUCAGAGUCAGUCUAUUUGAGGUUACUAGUACAUUGUGUUAGUGAAUUUCAUUUCCACUUGAAUUAAAUAUAAAGAUCUUUGUGUAAUUUAUUUUUUCAAUUAACAUUCAAUUGAAAAAAAUAUAUAAUAAUAAAUGACUACAAAUAUGAGGUGUAUUCUUAAAUAAUCAUUACUCAUGAUCAUCAACAAUCAUGUGCUAAAAUAUAGACAUGCUAAAAAAUUGGAUACAGCUUUUGACAGCUGUAAAUUUAUCAAUGUUUUUUGACUGUUGAUAUCAAACUUCUUUUAGCAAUGAACUUCUUAUCUAUAAGGAUUCAUUAAGUUCAUUAACUGUACAUUUAUACCAACUUUAUUUUAUGAACUAAGUAACUAUUUCAAUAAAGUAAGUUCAUAAAAGUUAAUUCUGUGAUUACUUAUUUAAUUUUACUAAUCACAGAAACUUGAAAUUUAAUUCUAUAAGGAGAUUGUUUUUCAAGUGUUUAUAAGUUGGGCAUUUUAAAAAGAGAAUGAAUCUCAAUUAAAAGAGAAUGAAUUAGAUUGAUUUAGUUCAAUUUUUCAUUUUUACAACAAAUACAAAACUCAGUUGUAAUAAUUGUGACUGCACAUCAUACAAACCUUCAUCUUAUAUUAUAGGGUUAUUGCAUGAAUAUUGGGGAAUAUUGUCCCGAGUAGAAUUUUAUAUUGCAAGAGCUUGCGAGUGCAAUAUAUGUUCUAUGAGGGACAAUAUUCAUACAAUAACCCUUUUAUUGUAUAGCAAUAUAAUAUUUGAAAGUAAAAAUUGGUUUAAACUAAGAUUUUGUUGUUGAUUACGUCAUGAAUUUUGAAGAUUUAUUGCACUAGUGCAAUAUUGGAAAUUUCUUGCACGCUAACUUUUGGUUACUUUCUGUGGGAAAUAUUAUAUUGCUAUACAAUAAUAUACAAUUACUGUCUUUUGAUGAGGUAAAUGUGUAGUUUUAUUGACUUUUGAAAAACUGAUAUUCACUGAGGCCAACGGCCGAAGUGAAUAUCAGUUUUUCAAAAGUCAAUUAAACCACAUAUUUACCGAAACAAAAGAUAGUAAUUGUUUUAUUCCAUAUUCCGAGAGAAAUGUAUGUAAUGGCAAUUAUUUACCAAAACCAAUUGUACAUCAAUCGUUUUUUUUACCAAAAAAAGUGCAGGUAAAAGCACGCGACGUUAUGCGCGGUGAAUAUCCUUUUCCGCAGGUGAAUGUGCUUAUUUAUUCAAAAUCCCAUUCAUAUAGAAAAACCUACUAAAGUUCUAUCAAUAUGGAAUAAAUAGCGUUAUUAUCUUGAUUUAGUUUGAUUACCUAAACAAUUGCCUCAGCAGAACAGUCAGAUUACUGAAAUGACUUAGAUGACAUGCACGACUGUUGAAAUGGGUUGCAUAUAAAGGCUGAUACAUGUCUGUUUAUGAAUGUACUAAAGUUAAAUAAAGGCAAAUUUCAGAGUAGUUGCAUUUAAUUUUGGAGUAGGGUAGCAGGUAGAAUAUGGCCACAUGACAUAUAUUUUUAGCCUACAUUUCAAUAGUGGUUUUAUAAUCCAUCAAAAUGUAUCUAUUAUAUUCCUGUCUAUGUCAAAUGCAUUGACAAAAACCAUUAACAGAUUUUUAUAUUUUGUUUGAAGUUGAUGUUAAAAAAGUACAAAAAUGAAGUAUAAAGACUUUAAAAACUUUUAGAUUUAUUAUUGUCAUGAUUGUAGGAUAUUCACAAAGUUAACACAAAUAAACAAAAGUUAAACUCAGUUACAAUCAUAUCUCCAUGAAAAUACAAUGUUUGUUAUAUUUUGUGUGUAAUACAGUGUACAAGUAGUUACCAUAUUUGUUUACCCCUUUAAAUAAAGAAUGUAUUAUUAUUAUUAUCAUUAUAAUAUAAUAGUAUGUUAGGAUUUAUAUUUUUGUUAGAAUAACAGAAUAAACUCAUUAUCAUAAUCUGUGUUAAUUUUAUUUAACAGGUUUCCAAUUGAAGAACUGAAUCAAAAAGAAUUUCAACAGAGAAUAUUGGCAGUAAAACAUGUUUCAAG
RNAcentral lists this long non-coding RNA (9982 nucleotides) under Mytilus galloprovincialis (Mediterranean mussel). The record is from RNAcentral. Lineage: Eukaryota; Metazoa; Mollusca; Bivalvia; Mytilida; Mytilidae.